This is a long non-coding RNA of Maniola jurtina (meadow brown), 100 nucleotides long. RefSeq lists it as uncharacterized. The record is from RefSeq and is a predicted model, not a curated record. NCBI's taxonomy places the organism in Eukaryota, Metazoa, Arthropoda, Insecta, Lepidoptera, Nymphalidae. The transcript is spliced from 3 exons.
CACUAAAAUUUGAAUUCUUUAAUUGAAUUCAUUUUCUGUCCUGUUCUGUUUAGCAAUAUUAAAAAGAAAAAGAUGCAGAUACUCUCAAAUUUUACUUAGA